CACGGGGGGUGCAAGCGUUAUUCGGAUUUAUUGGGCGUAAAGGGCGCGUAGGCGGCCAUUUAAGUCGGGUGUGAAAUCCCGGGGCUUAACCCCGGAACUGCAUCCGAUACUGGAUGGCUUGAGUAUGGGAGAGGGAAGUGGAAUUCCAGGUGUAGAGGUGAAAUUCGUAGAUAUCUGGAGGAACACCAGUGGCGAAGGCGACUUCCUGGACCAAUACUGACGCUGAUGCGCGAAGGCGUGGGGAGCAAAC
Molecule: ribosomal RNA, 250 nt
Filed under: uncultured bacterium
Lineage: Bacteria
Description: partial 16S ribosomal RNA
Rfam family: Bacterial small subunit ribosomal RNA
Source: RNAcentral